CUGCUUCUCAUCUUUCUUUAGAUGGAGUAACAGUUUGCACUUCAGGAAAGCUUAACUGUUGGCUGCUGGAGUUCUCUUGAUAUCAUAACAACCAGUGUCUCACAAUGUGCAAAGAUUUCCGCGUGCUUCACUGCAACAUAGCCAAGUGACUGCCUUUAAUGCCAGCUAUGAAUCUGCAUAUAGGAGCUCAUCCCAAGAUGAAGCUCUACGUGGAUCUGAAUUAAAGGAGGCAAGUCCUAAACAGGCAGAAGUUCUCAGAAGGAGCACAGUGACCUUGGAGAAAUUCAAAAGCAACCAGAAGAGCAGCUUUGGGGAGCAGAGCUGGAGCAGGGAUGUUGGACCAGAUGACCUUGAGGGGGCUUUUCCAACUGCAGCUGUUCUGUGGUGCAGUGAUACUUUAUUAAUCAGGUUCUUCAUUCAACUCUGAAACCAGUGUUUUACUGGAGCCUUACUUAAUUCUGUAUUUUGAUAAUUAGUGCAUUGAAAAAUCAAGGUUUGCUGUAGGAGGAAAACUUUUCCCUUUGCAUCUUUUUAAACAAAAGCAAGUGAAAGUAGAGGAUUCUUCCACUGGUAUCAGUAAAGUGAUGUCUACUUCAAAUCCUAUAGGAGAGGAAUGGUUUGCAUUGUGAACAGAAUUUGUGGGAGUAGGGUUUUGUGAACAUGUAAUAAUGAACUCUGGCAACAUGCAGGGGGGAAUGGAGGGAGAAGGGGGCACAGGUGUGAUUGCAUUGGUUUGUUGGUAACGAGCUAGGAAAUCAGUGAGUGCAUGGAACAGUCGAGAAGAUUGGGUGCUGCUUUCAUUGCUGCUGCUGCUCUUGUUGCCAUAUUAGCAAGUGAGAAACGUAACUCAAACCAAACAGAAGCAAGGAGAGUCUAAAUACGGCAGUGUAAGUCAGUAUCCACAUACUGUCUCACCUUCACUUCUAAUCUUGCUGGAAGCUUUGUCCUUCCACAAAACGUACUGUUUGCAGAGAUUUGAUCACCGCUACUUUGCAGUAGAGUUUGAGGUUGCUUUGGACUUUUUACAGCAGUAGUGACAUUUGCUUUGUAGUAUAAAGGUGGACCCAAAUAGUUUUGUGCUUCCAGAAGUCUGUGCUGAUCCUCUGUUCUUAAUGGGAGUGUUUUAAAUCACAUUAAGUUCUGGACCAAACUCCAGUUGAUUUCUUUCUAAAACUGUAAGGAACAAUUUAAAUUGCUGAGUAACAUUACUGGAGAAGUCAAUGUUAUGAUGCUCAUCUAAAAUUGGAUAUUUUGCUUAUUAAAAUGCUGAUGGUAAAAUGGAAGCUUAUGGGAGCUUGUAU
Molecule: long non-coding RNA, 1301 nt
Filed under: Phasianus colchicus (ring-necked pheasant)
Lineage: Eukaryota; Metazoa; Chordata; Aves; Galliformes; Phasianidae
Description: lncRNA (ENSPCLG00000008581.1)
Source: RNAcentral